CCUGUGCAGCCUUGUGAAGCUGCCCCUGGCCCAGCCUGUUGCCUGUGGGUACAACAAGCUGCAGAAAGCAACUCAAAGAAUGAAAAGGCGUGGCUCCUGGAGGCUCGGGAGUGUCACGUGCGAUGUUCUUUGCACAGACCCCUGCCUCCCACGGUGGUGACGACCUCCCCCGGUAGCCGUCACCUUUCUUGAGGCAGGUAGAGUAAAAUCUGGCAGCCAGAUAUUGUCUGAAACAGGGGAAGCUCUUCCUGUCAGACACUGUUCAGCUGUCACACUG
This is a non-coding RNA of Astatotilapia calliptera (eastern happy), 277 nucleotides long. NCBI's taxonomy places the organism in Eukaryota, Metazoa, Chordata, Actinopteri, Cichliformes, Cichlidae. The record is from Ensembl.